This 202-nucleotide long non-coding RNA is filed under the name Mytilus galloprovincialis (Mediterranean mussel). Lineage: Eukaryota; Metazoa; Mollusca; Bivalvia; Mytilida; Mytilidae. The record is from RNAcentral.
CUUAAUACCGAAUAUAAAGCUCUAUAGAAAUAGUUUUCGCCAUCGCUGGACAGUAAUACCUUUGUCUCACUCUAUGACAUUUUACAUUCACUGUUUAUAGAUUAUUCCCACACCGACAAAGUGCGUUUGGCUCUUACUAAUGUUUUUACUAAUAAAACAUAAAACCUGUAUAAAAAAAAAAGUCUGAAAACACGAAUGCCCC